CCUACGGGGGGCUGCAGUGGGGAAUUUUGGACAAUGGGCGAAAGCCUGAUCCAGCCAUUCCGCGUGAGUGAAGAAGGCCUUCGGGUUGUAAAGCUCUUUCGGCAGGAACGAAACGGUCUUUUCUAAUACAAGAGGCUAAUGACGGUACCUGAAGAAGAAGCACCGGCUAACUACGUGCCAGCAGCCGCGGUAAUACGUAGGGUGCGAGCGUUAGUCGGAAGUACUGGGCGUAAAGCGUGCGACAGCGGUGAAAUCCCCGGGCUUAACCUGGGAACUGCGUUUGUGACUGUAGGGCUAGAGUGCGGCAGAGGGGGGUAGAAUUCCACGUGUAGCAGUGAAAUGCGUAGAGAUGUGGAGGAAUACCGAUGGCGAAGGCAGCCCCCUGGGUCGACACUGACGCUCAUGCACGAAAGCGUGGGGAGCAAACAGGAUUAGAUACCCUGGUAGUC
RNAcentral lists this ribosomal RNA (449 nucleotides) under uncultured bacterium. RNAcentral describes it as "partial 16S ribosomal RNA". It matches the Rfam family "Bacterial small subunit ribosomal RNA", at positions 338 to 795 of the family's 1533-position model. The record is from RNAcentral.